This 74-nucleotide transfer RNA is filed under the name Halococcus dombrowskii. Its description in RNAcentral is "tRNA-Trp". It matches the Rfam family "tRNA". Rfam says of the family: Transfer RNA (tRNA) molecules are approximately 80 nucleotides in length. Their secondary structure includes four short double-helical elements and three loops (D, anti-codon, and T loops). Lineage: Archaea; Methanobacteriati; Methanobacteriota; Halobacteria; Halobacteriales; Halococcaceae. RNAcentral also lists the same sequence under 1 other name. The record is from RNAcentral.
GGGGUCGUGGCCAAGUCAGGUAUGGCGACUGACUCCAGAUCAGUCGAUCGGGGGUUCAAAUCCCUCCGACCCCA